Long non-coding RNA from Passer domesticus (house sparrow), 3411 nucleotides. RefSeq lists it as uncharacterized. The transcript is spliced from 3 exons. The record is from RefSeq and is a predicted model, not a curated record. NCBI's taxonomy places the organism in Eukaryota, Metazoa, Chordata, Aves, Passeriformes, Passeridae.
UCAACCCUCCUGACAAAAGUGGGGCCUGACCUGGAUGCUCAAGUGAGGACUGAAUUGACCCUCUGACCUUCAGCAGGAACAUUUUGCUAUGGAAAAUGAGGUGAUGGGAAUGCAGGUCAAAUGUUGAGUUCAGCUGUGGUGCUGUAAAUCCACUAAGUUCAGUGUUGCUCCUUAAAGCUUACAGUCAUGGGAAAGCAGAAAUUAUGCACCAUGUUGUUUUUUCAGCCUUUGCCCCCUAUUUAUUAUGGAAAAGCCAUAAAACAAAGACAGAGGACAGGAGAAGUCUGCCUAGGGAACAGUAAUUUUUCAGGAAGAAUUUGUAUCUUGGCUUUUCACAUAUUUUGGUGUUUCCAGCUUUGGGGGAAAGGGGAUGGUUUGGAUCCAUUUUUACUGUAGUGAGAACACCACCACUGUAGGAUGAGAUGUUCUCCCCUGCCAACGGAUGGUAGAAACAAUCAGGAGGAAUGCAGGGCUUGACUCCUGCCUCAGGACUCAUCAAUACUAUCUGUUUUCCUCUCCAGAGGUAUAACUCCAGGAUUUUAGAGUGGGAGAAUUAGGAACAGGCAGAGCCAGGGGUUAGGUCAGGAAUUCCAGGCCAACCACUCCCUCAGCCCAGACACAUUUUGAAUUGCAAUGGUAUUAACAGAGGAGUGUCAGGAGUUUUCAGUGGUUAAAGGUGAGAAGUGCCACAACUGUGAAUUCAGUGAUUCCCAGACACAGCUGAGGAGCAGCUCUGGUACCUCAGAGCCCCACACUGGAAGAAAUGUCUUAAUGAUGGCAGAGGAGCCAUCAUCAGCAAGGCUUGGCGCUGGAGUGUUUGAUUUAAUAAGCUGGCUCAUGAUGUGAGUCAGUUCCCAAAGAGCUGUUGUAGGCCAGAAAAGGUGAUUUUGCUGCCUUAGCACUGGCACUGCCACAGCAGUGGGCAGCAGCUCGUUACAGCACAGACAAUGUUGGGCAGCAGAAGGAUUUGUGUUAGAGCCCACAGCCAAGCUCAGGUUGAAGAUCCUCUUCUUUCACUGCCUCGUUCAUCAAUAAUUGUUCAUCUCCUUUCACUACCUCAUUCAUCAAUAAGCUUGUUGGAAUCUGAUAGGUCCAUUUGAAGGAAAUGCCCAAAUGGCUUUUGGAAAAGAAGCUAUCAUGUGAUUAUUAGCUUUUGGAAAGAUUUGUUUUAUUCUUGAAGUCCUCUGCUUCUAUUGUCUGCCCAAACUUGGAGAUGGAAUAGACCUCUCGCUGGUGUUGGACACUGUGACAUGUGGGAAGGUGAGCCUACCUCACCUUUUUUUGUUCUCACCCCACCACAGCUCAUGCUGCUGGUAAGAGACUUGAGCUUAGUUGUGUCCUGCUUGCUGUCUGGUUUAGGGAAUAAAACACGUAAUUAAAAAUUCUCAUGAUGCUCAGAUGCUUUCCUUCUACAGGUGACCCACAGAGAGGAAUGAUGCUGGGUCUGGAGCCCACAGGGGGGAGAUGCCAGUGACAGAAAUGUGGAUGGUUCUUCUGGUGCACAAGGUGUAAUGUGCCAGCCUAAACCCUCACCCACCAUCUCCCUGAGCUUGCAGCUGCUUGCUCAGGUGGGCACCUCCCUAUGAUGGUCCCCAACCUAUCCUGAGACCCCAGUGCCAUGGGAAAGCACCACUUCAGCAGUUCACUUUAUAUCCCAACCCCACAGACUGGGAGACAGCGACCCUUGCCUGCCUCUGCUUUCCUCUCUGCCCUUUACAAAAUACAUUCAGACUUGGAGAUAAAACUUAGAGUACAAGAUGCAGCAGAUAAAUUUUCCAGAGUGUUUCAGCUUUAGCAGCCAGUGCAGCAGUUAAUGAAGUGUGUCACAAGGCAUUGCAGCUGAUGCCUGUAUUUAUGAGCUCUACUGAAACUCCUCUGAGCAGGGACUGCUUCUUUUUAUUUUUUUUCCCCAGCACUUGUACAGCACCAGCACCACAGGGCAUCACCACAGACCUUGGUCCAAGGUACAUCAAGAUUUAAAAGUAAUAAUUAACUCUAAUCCCAGGCUAUAAGGCAGCAUGGUUUUGCAGAGGAGGAGUUUGGAGAAAGCACAUAGAUGGAGAAUUUGGAGGAGACAAUACACAAGGCAACACAGCAGAUGUUCUGUGAAGUCUUGAUUUUCUGCUUAGUGAUUUUUUAAGGUUUAAUGAAAAAAUUAUUAAUGAAAUAGUAAACACUUCAAAUUGCCAUAACAGUUCACUACUUAAAAAACUAUACUUGUUUUGUAAUGAUUUAAGUACACAUCUUUUUCAUCAAGUAAGAAAAGCUCAUUAAUUAAACAUACUGGAUUUCAAAGCCCUCAAUGUUUAAUUAUUUGUUUAACAAGCAGUACAUCUAAUCCACCAUUCAGACACACAAACAACUAAAACAACAGGAAGACUCUUCAAAGCAGGACAAUCAACAUCUGGAAAAGUCAACAGACUGUGCCUGUAUUGUCAGUAACACAUAAAGCAAAUGUUCCACUGGUAGAACAAAUACACAGAGGAAGCACCUCAGAGAUCAUCCUGCUGAUUCCUGCUCAACAAAGCAUCUUUCUUGCCCUCAGAACAGACUCAUCACAGUAAGGGAGCUUGUUCCUGUUUGAUUUCCCCAAUUUCUUUCCAUUCUUCAACUGAAUCAAGUCUGAUGCACAGAGGGCACUAUGAAAUUUCUGCCCUCCAUCUGUACCUACUCUUCCUUUUGCUCCAUGUGGGGAGUUUUGGCACCAGGUCAGAGAUCCAUGAGCCAGGAGAGAGCAGGGGAGCAGACAACCAGUCAUCUUGCUAAAGCCAUUUGAAAUCUUUUCUGUACUCCAGAGAUGACAAACAAAAUGACCUGGUGGUUCCCUUUGGCCUGCCUGGGAGUGUGCAGAGCCCUCCUGACUGUUCCACCCUAGAAGAGUGCUCCAAGAGAAUGCAGGUGGCUGAGCAGGGAGCGUUGCCCCGCAGGCUGCCGCAGCACCAGCCCAGCUUCUCACACUGCACAAUCCAGAUGUGAGCCUUGGGUAGCUCUGUGCUCGAGCAAACAAUCAAAUCAAUUAAUUUUGGGAAAGACAGACCUAAUUCUUCACUGCCUACAGUAGUUUAGGCAUCACAAAGAAAAGAUGAAAGCUGGAUCAUGUAAGAACUCUCUUCAUGCUGCUGAGGAAUGUCUUGGGAGAUGGACACAGCUUCCUUUCAAGUUCUCUUCAGAAGGUUCCUCUCCAUGCAGACCACCCAUUGGGGACCCACAUCAAUAACAACAACAACAAAAAAGAAUUUGAAAGACCCAUUUUUCAUCCAAUUUAUUUACAUGUUAAAAUAAACACAAAUUCCCAUCUAGAGCAAAGGCUCACAGUGGGUUCUGUUUAGUCUGUGAGAUUCCUGGCACCAGAAUACAGCAUUUCUCUAUUCCAAAGCAAUCUUGGCACAGAAUUGUUGGUUAUAUAAUUUU